Non-coding RNA from Malus domestica (apple), 379 nucleotides. Lineage: Eukaryota; Viridiplantae; Streptophyta; Magnoliopsida; Rosales; Rosaceae. The record is from RefSeq and is a predicted model, not a curated record.
UUGAAACCUCCACAGCCAAUAUGGGCCGAAGCCGAAGGACCAGUUGGAAGUAUUCAGCAGCAGAAGAAAACCAAACUCUCCACCUUUUUAUCCUCAAAAGAGUUUCAAUCAACGAUGUCCUCAAAAACCAGGAACAGGAAUCUUCCUGGAACUUGGAAGCUUCGCCAAUGUGAACUCUUCAGAUUAUGAGUCAGAGUCUUCCCUGGAGGAUAUUUCUGUAACUUCUUCUUCUUCCUUGGAUUCCGGAGCAGAAAUUGAGGAAAACAACAGAGAAUGGAAUUGUUUGAGGCUACACAGAGCCAAAUUCAGAAGCUAAAGCAUCCCGCUUCUGCAGAAUCGAGCAGAAAGUUUUGGAUUUCUUGUUGUUUGUUAGUUCUCC